AAGACCUUGCACUUUUGGAGCGGCCGAUGUCUGAUUAGCUAGUUGGUGGGGUAAUGGCCUACCAAAGCUUCGAUCAGUAGCUGGUCUGAGAGGACGGCCAGCCACACUGGGACUGAGACACGGCCCAGACUCCUACGGGAGGCAGCAGUGGGGAAUUUUGGACAAUGGGCGCAAGCCUGAUCCAGCCAUGCCGCGUGAGUGAAGAAGGCCUUCGGGUUGUAAAGCUCUUUCAGCCGGAACGAAACGGUUACGGUUAAUACCCAUGACUACUGACGGUACCGGAAGAAGAAGCACCGGCUAACUACGUGCCAGCAGCCGCGGUAAUACGUAGGGUGCGAGCGUUAAUCGGAAUUACUGGGCGUAAAGCGUGCGCAGGUGGUUUUGUAAGUCAGAUGUGAAAUCCCCGGGCUUAACCUGGGAACU
RNAcentral lists this ribosomal RNA (423 nucleotides) under uncultured bacterium. RNAcentral's name for it is "bacterial SSU rRNA". It matches the Rfam family "Bacterial small subunit ribosomal RNA", at positions 207 to 622 of the family's 1533-position model. The record is from RNAcentral.